Molecule: long non-coding RNA, 4415 nt
Organism: Antechinus flavipes (yellow-footed antechinus)
Lineage: Eukaryota; Metazoa; Chordata; Mammalia; Dasyuromorphia; Dasyuridae
Exons: 4
Source: RefSeq, a predicted model, not a curated record
AAAUAAAUUAGAAAUAAUACAAAGAUGGCGCAGGGAAGAUGAAUUGUGGGAGAGCCGUCAUGGCUUUUUUUUUGGGCAAAAAAAAAAAAAAGAGAGAGAGAGAGAGGAGAGAUAGAGGGAGAGAGAGAGGGAGAGAGAGGGAGAGAGAGAGAGAUGAAAAAAAUGGCAAAAGCCCCCCUGAGCUGCAAGUUCAAGUGCGGACGUGACGUCCCUGCGAACUUGAACGUCAGGAGCCUGGAUGGACAGAGACAUACAAAACAUGGGCAGGGCGAGCAGGAGAGAAGGGGAGGAGGGAAGGGUAGGCUAACACCAAUGGACACACAUCAGGGGCUGGACAUGAAAAAGAGACCAGGACAAGCCAAUGGACAGUGCUGGGAGGGGGAGGUGGGGGGGGGGCUCUCCAGACGCCAGACACAAGCUGCCUAAUGGGGGGGUGGGAAGGGAGGAGGUAGUGCUGAGAGGGGGGCAGGGGAGGCGCGGGGGCAUUGAGCUCACAAGUGGCCGCAGCCGAGUACAGGAGGAGACGGCAUGGCCAGGAGGAAAGAAAAGAAAAGGGGAGGGGGAAGGGAGAGGUGUGUGUUUGGGGGGAGGGGAACGUCCUCCCCGUGUCUCAGCCACCCUCUAAAAUGAAAGGUUAAAACAAGAGAUAGAAGUGCUUAAAUAAUAAGCUAAAGAUGUACGUAGAAAGGGACGAAGGGAACUCACAGAGGAGCAAAAAAAAAAAAAAAAAAAAAGGCGGGAGGGGGGAACCAGGUAGACACCCCCCUCCUUACACACACCCACUUCCCCCCUCCCCAGCUAGCCUCACACACAGCCCGGCGUGCAUGCAUCCUGGAGCAGAAGUGAAAGCCGACAUCAAUCUGCACUUUUGAAACUUUUCUCUCCCCCCCCCCCCCAAAUACAACAUGAAAAGAAAAACCAGAAGUUUAUAACUAAACUCUAAAGUUACAACUCAAGGACAGAAGUACCAAGGCUGGGGAGGGGGUGUUACGGAGAGUGGUAAAGAAUUAAUUGUAAAAGAAGUUUGUGUACCGUAGCAGCUAGAAAGGCAGAGGCUUUCAGGAGCCUCCGGCUCCCAGGUUGGGGAGAGAGGAAAGGAGAAAUUCUGUGUGUACAGGAGAGAAGCAAGACUGGGAAAUACUAGAAGGAGUUUCGGGGAGCAGCCAGAGAGUGAGGUAAGGGGAAAGGGGAAGCCCAAGCUCCAACUCAGCAUCUCCCUACUUACCCCCAUCCCCCACUACACCCCAAAGGCAGGCAGAAUAGGUAGCUAAGGAAGUCUGAGUGCGAGAAGGGACAAUGUCUUAAUGAAACUGCAAAGCACGAAUCUGAGCAAAGCGAGGUGCCGCGGCCCGAGAAGGAAGAAGGAGACAAGGGUAAAUAAAUAAAUAAAGACAGAAACACAACUCUUGAGACUCAGCGCCGUUACUGACAAGAGUGGGGAAGAGUCCAGGAGAGCAAAAUCGUUCAGGAAGGAGAGAUAAGCAGCUUGGAGGCGGGAGAUGCAGCGGUAACGGCAAUAGCUUCGGCCGCGCCGAAACUUACCCUUUAAUAUUGAGCACCCAUGCCCAGGAGAGCAGCCAGCGAGUUGCAAGGUUGUAAGGAAGAAUAAUCUCAACACAGGAAAUGAGAGAAAAAUAACUAAGAGGAAAUUAAUGCCCAAGAUAAGUAAGAAAAGAAUGGCAAGCUGGGAGGCAUGGUUAACAUAUUGGAUACAAGCCUCAGGAUCCAAAAGAAUCAGGAUACCAUUUAGGUAAAUCUAAGAUGAUGAAAUUCAAGCUCAUCAUACAGGAAACUGAGGCAAACAGGGUUAAAUGACAUGCCCUGAGACAAACAGCUAAUGAGUGACUGAGACUGGUUUCAAACACAAGAAGCCGUCCAAUGUUCUAUCUGUUGCACCAUCUGAAGAGUUGUGAUAUCCAGGUUUCAAAUCUAAGUCCUCUGUCUACAACGACCAGCUGGGAACAGAAAGUCACACACAGUCACACACACACACACACACACACACACACACACAAUACUUCAAACAUUCUGUUAGUUCCUUUAGAACCUCGAGUCCUGUGUUUAAUUUACUCUUAAAGAGUAGCAUACAUAAGAUUUAUGUUCAAAAGCAUUUAGUAAAUUUUAAUGAUGAAACUGAUCACAUAAAAAAAAAAAAUCAACCUGCAAAAACACUGACUGCAUACACCCAGUUCCCUGACUUUGUCAAGAGGCAGAAUAGAGUUAACUAAGAUCCAUUCUCUAAAGCUCAGCUUCUUAAACAGUGGAGAUUUGUAAUCAAAUAUGAGAGUCAAAAAUUAUGAUUUAUUAUCAGUAAAUAUUUCAUUUAUAUACAUAUUUCAUAUUCCUAGGGAUCAUGUAAAAAUUUCUUUGGCAAAAAGGGGUCACAAGUGGAAAAAGUUUAAGAAGCCCUGCUCUAAAGAAUGAUCAUUAUGAUGAAAAUUCUCCCACUAAACUGCUGCCAUACAGACCAGCAGCAGGAGAAUAACUUUUCUUCAUUUCACAUUCUACCCCACCUCCAGUUCCAGUGAGAAGAUGAUCGAGACAGCAGAUCUUUUCUAACAUUGUUCAAAAAAAACCAGCUGAUACCAUUCUUUUCCUUCCUCUCCCUGUUCAGUGCCCACCUCCUCAAAAACAACCGCCAAAUGUUAAGCAUUAAUUUUAUUCAGAUUGGCUGGGAAUUUUCAUAAGUGUCUUAGUUUUGGAGCUGUUGGGGUCCCAAUCUCCACUCCAUUUACGGAUUUCAAACUGAGAGCCUAGAAAAGAUAUAUAGAUAUAAAUAUGAAUAUACACAUAUAUGUAUUUGUAUAUAAGUAUAUGCACGUGUAUCUAUGUAUCCAUGUAUUUAUAUGUACAUAUACACAAAUAUACAUAAAAUACAUAUGUGUGUCAUACUCUGGGUCACAAAGGAUAGUAAGUAGCAAAGCCAACCCUUGAAACCAGAUCCGGUAGUGAAGCUUUCCAUUAUGGUAUGCUGCCCUUACUGAAUCCUGAGCCAUAAUAAUCAUUAGUUUUACAAUAAUAUGGCUACAUACUCAACUGUUAAGAGAUGGCCGGGGCCAUUAAAAGAGAUUGGUAGCUCCCUAGAGAUAUGGAGAAGAGAGAAUCCCUACAGGGAAGGAAGAGAGGCUUAGGGGAGAAUCAGGUCAGCUUGCCAAGCACUAGGUCUCCGUUAAAAACCUCAUAGCUCCUUGCAGUCCCGGAGGGGUUCAUGCAACCCAAGAAUUGCCCACCAUAAAUGUACUUCGGUGGUUGGGGGCAAAGUAUGAGGAAUCAGUAUCAUUUUUUAAGAAAGAAAAAGAUUUUUGCCCCAAAUUCAGGGCGCUGACUGAAUUUCUCCGAGGGGCACAGAGAGAGCUAAGAGAAAUUGCGUGAGAUGCUGGAAGACAGUUUUAAACUUCGGCGCCCCAUUUUCCUUGUACUUCCCUAGGAGGGAGUUCCACGAGUUUCCCGGCGAUUCAAAGUUGUUUUCUACUCAUUGUGGGGGGCACCCCCGCCUUGAAGAAAGGAAGAGAUAUCGUUGGGCAACGGUCCUCGAGCCCCAUUUCCUGCCCACGGUCUGCACGAGCCCGGUUCCGCGAGCACACCUCCGCUCGCGCUUCCACAUCGCGCGCUGGGCUGCCCGGGGUUCCGCGCGGGCGGGGGAGGGGCCCCGGGGAGCCUUUGUCUCCCGGCUGGCCGGCCGCAGUCAUCAGCGGCAGCCCAGCGUCCGAAGGCAGCUGCCGCCAUCGUGAGGCUGAAACUUGGUACUGCACCUCCCGUGGCCGCGUUGCGACCUCAAAGGCUCACCUGUUGACCAGCCAGCCUUGGAAACUUAAAAAACAAAAACAAAAAGAGCCUUCAUCUCUGAGUUGUUUUUGCUGUUUUAUUAUUUUAACAUAUUUUAGUUUUUAGUGAAAUGUUUAUGCCCCUUGGAAGUUAGCAUUUUAAUUUUCCUACAAAUAAGAGUCGAAUCUUUGGAUUUGUGGAAGUCCCAAUGCCUAGCAGAAUUCUGGGUGUUUAAUAAAUGCAUAGUGAAUGAAUUAAUAUAUCAUAAUAGGUAACAAUGAUUUGAUACAAUCAAUAAAAAUGGACAUAUAAAAAUGAUAUAAUCACUUCUAAUAAGAUAAGUAAAUUCUUGCAAAGUUGAACUAGAAGACGAGAGUUGGAUCAUCUAAUACAAAUAUUCAUUAACAAAUAUUUGUUUAAAAGAAUAUUUUCAAUAAACAAACUUGGGACAGAGAUAGAUAGAUAUUUGAAUCCUGCCUCAUACCAAUCAUAUGAACAUUGUUAAGUAUCUGAAUGUCAAUUUCCUUAUCUGUGAAAUAAGACCAGCAAUACCUAUAGUAUCUACCUCACAGGGUUUGUUGUAAGGAAUAAAUGAAACAAUGUAUGUAAAUAUCAGCUGUUAUUAAAGAGCUUUGACUUGAGAAUCAGGA